CUGACCCGCCCCUAAGCACGUCGUCGCAAACUGCAGGCCGCCACCGCGCACGCCGCCGCACAGUGCAGGCCGCCGCCGCGCAAGCCGCCGCCCCGCGCACGCAGCACAGUGCAGGCCGCCAAGCUGCAGGUCGCCGACCGCAUCCGUGGUCACCGCCGCACGCCGCCGGCGCGCUACCCUGUGCGACCUACCCCUAACCGACGUGAUUUGGUAUGGGUUCCCCCAGGCUGUCGCCUCCGUAUGCACCCAGCUCGACAUCAUCGGCUCCUCCAACGUCUGAUUGACUGUGUCACGUCGGUCAUGCCGUCAUCCACUGCGUCCUCGCCUCGCCACCAACAGCCCGCUUUUCCGCUCGCCUAAUUCCCAUCGAUGACCUUCGUCACACCGCCUUUCACGCCAUGCGUCCAUGCCAUCAUCCAUCCGUAGCUUAACCAGCCCCCACCGCCACAGAGCCUCUCCGCCCGACGCCUGUCAUCUCAAUUGUGCUUCUCCCCUGGUUUCAGGCAUACAGAAAGCAUUCGAUUGCUUUGAUUUCAGUUGCUUUCUUACCGUGGCAUGAAAAGGGAUAAUAUUUUAGAGUACUUUAUUACAACUUGCAUUACAGAUUAGUGCAAUGCAUAAUUACUUUGUAUGUGUCAGCCAUUCUAAAUAGGAUUGCAGAUGAUGGUAGUGGAUUCAUUGCAAAGUGUACUUUCAUGUUGAACAGGGUGAUGGUAGUGGAUUCACAUUAAUCUAUGAGACCAAUUUCAUUGCAAAGCAUGAAUUGUAUACCAGACCAGCCAUGGCAUCAGAAUAUUUUAUGAUUACAACAUUGUUAAAAAAUGACAUUUGCUCAAUGAUUUCAUUUUGCGACUGUUGAUUCAAGAGGUAUUUUCCUAUCCGCAACACCUGCAUAUCUUCAUUCUGUUUUAGGUGAUUUUGGUGGUAAGUAUUCUCAAUACUAAUUCACAUGUUAAGAUGCAUGCUUUAAACAGAUUUUGUAUAUGUGAUCUGCAAAGUUCGUUGUAUUUUUUAUUGGAGGUAUUAACAAUAUUGUUUAUGUCGUCUCUCGAGUGAGAGGAUCUUUUCUUGAAGGACCUAAAUGUAAUCUAAGUAGAGCAACGACCGUUCCUAGAGACAACAUUUCCAAAUGGAGGAAAGUUCUCACAUUGAACAGUUUGCAUCAGUCUUUCCACUCCAGUUCGGGUAGAUGUGUUAUUCAUCCGUGCUUCAUGAAUGGUGGCUGGGAGAGCGUAGCAAAUACUUGGUGCUCUUUUAUACACGUUAGAUCAGAGUAGAACUAUGUUGCCCAUUACUUAUGGAGUGGAAAACCCAAUCAGUUUGAUUAAAAUAUGUGUAUAAGAGAGAAAUCUAUUAAUCAAGCAUUAGAAAUUACCACAUAUUAAUGGAACGAAAUUGUUCUGGUGUAUUUUUUGCUUAUCGCUGUUAUUUGGGUGCAUCUGUUCAUUUAUUAUUGAUGUCUCUAUCAGUACAUUAUUAGAUCUCACUGUUGAUUUUCUUUUUUACAAUACAAGAUCCAUGUGUUGAUUUUGUUUAAAUAUUUGCAAAACUGAAAAUAUCAUCGAUUAUACGCACUGAGAAAGAUACCUAUGUCAGUUAUCUUCAGAGGAAUUAUAGCAUUAUGUAUAUGUCAGAACCAAAUUAAUUAUAGAAGGGGCGAAAACAGAGUGAUGAUUGGACCAAUUCUCUAUGCCACAAAACAAGAGUUGGCGAAUCUGGGUAUCACUGUUGACAUUUUUUCUCCAAGUAAAUGGUACGUGACACCUUGCAUGGUGCAUGAAGUUAGAAAGUACUCGCAUUUUUUGAAGUUGUCGGUUAAUAGGUGCAUAAAUUUACAUCUAUUGACUGAGAUACAAACUUUAUUUUAUCUUGCUGCAUAGAUAUCUUUCAUUUCUUACUUUUGACUUGGUGACAAUAAUUAUUGUGUUACUUGCACUGUAUUAGCUAAAGUGAGAAGGUAUAAGUGUUUUCCUAAUAACUCAUAUAUACUCUUCUGUUUACAUGCACAUACGUGGCUGAAGUGUUAAAUUUCCCAAAAUGGCUCGACCACUGCUAUUUUUGUAUUAAUAAAAUAUUCAUGCAUGACUACAUUAUAUCUCGCGGGUGCCAAAUUCAUGUUUUGUGUAAUAACGUAUUGUACAAUUGCAGAUAUCGUGGGCAUUAUAAUGUAUCUUAGCCCAAUUGACCUGUUCCCUCCAGGUAUGAGGGAAGUAGCAAUGCUGGAUUCCUAUAAUCAUAUUGUGUUCCUCCACAUUUUUGAGUAACUUGUUGAGCGCCAUAGAGAACAACUGUUGGUUUGGUGAAAAGGAUGCUUAAUUCUUCAUGGCAACCUCUAUGGAGGUUUACCAAGCCUCAAGAUCUUAGGAGUAAAAGAUUUCGAGAAGGCUGAGGAGACAAAUGGUGACAAGUAAUUUCGAAGAUUAUACGUGCGAGGCACGUGCACUUUUACUAGUAGGUAGAAGAGCCAUCUUUACUAUUGUAUUGGAGUUGGGGAUGGUAUUCACUUUGACGUUAAACAUUGGAGCAAUCUCAACCGUCAAUCAUCCAUCAAAUCAUCAUCAAAACGCCUGUCAAAUCCAUGCCGCUCAAGAUGGAUUUUUUUUUAGAAUUUAUUGCGUACCAAUCAAGUCGCCAUAAGUCAAGGAAAUGUCAAACGUGCGUGCACUGAGGG
Long non-coding RNA from Lolium perenne, 2671 nucleotides. RefSeq lists it as uncharacterized. Lineage: Eukaryota; Viridiplantae; Streptophyta; Magnoliopsida; Poales; Poaceae. The record is from RefSeq and is a predicted model, not a curated record.